AUGUACCACUUGUACAAGUUAAGGUUCCUCCGCGCCGUCCGCACCCGUCUGGCGACUGCCCGCUACGUGUCGUUAGCC
Non-coding RNA from Xanthomonas fragariae, 78 nucleotides. The record is from Rfam. NCBI's taxonomy places the organism in Bacteria, Pseudomonadati, Pseudomonadota, Gammaproteobacteria, Lysobacterales, Lysobacteraceae.